RNAcentral lists this non-coding RNA (45 nucleotides) under Trichobilharzia regenti. Lineage: Eukaryota; Metazoa; Platyhelminthes; Trematoda; Strigeidida; Schistosomatidae. The record is from RNAcentral.
ACCCAACUGACGGGUUCCAAAUAGGACGAAAUGGGCAUCGUGGAU